This 107-nucleotide small nuclear RNA is filed under the name Equus asinus (donkey). The record is from RNAcentral. Lineage: Eukaryota; Metazoa; Chordata; Mammalia; Perissodactyla; Equidae.
AUGUUGGCCAGAAACAAGAGUUACAACAACUGAAAUGAUACAGAGAAGGUUAGCAUGGCACCUGGCCUAAGGAUGACAUGCAAAUCUGUGAAGCAUUCCAUAUUUUU